This 304-nucleotide ribosomal RNA is filed under the name uncultured bacterium. RNAcentral's name for it is "partial 16S ribosomal RNA". It matches the Rfam family "Bacterial small subunit ribosomal RNA", at positions 509 to 807 of the family's 1533-position model. The record is from RNAcentral.
CAGCAGUCGCCGCGGUAAUACGGAGGGUGCAAGCGUUAUCCGGAUUUAUUGGGUUUAAAGGGUCCGUAGGCGGAUCUGUAAGUCAGUGGUGAAAUCUCACAGCUUAACUGUGAAACUGCCAUUGAUACUGCAGGUCUUGAGUAAAUUUGAAGUGGCUGGAAUAAGUAGUGUAGCGGUGAAAUGCAUAGAUAUUACUUAGAACACCAAUUGCGAAGGCAGGUCACUAAGAUUUAACUGACGCUGAUGGACGAAAGCGUGGGGAGCGAACAGGAUUAGAUACCCCAGUAGUCCCUGUCUCUUAUAC